RNAcentral lists this ribosomal RNA (506 nucleotides) under uncultured bacterium. RNAcentral describes it as "bacterial SSU rRNA". It matches the Rfam family "Bacterial small subunit ribosomal RNA", at positions 21 to 518 of the family's 1533-position model. The record is from RNAcentral.
GGCUCAGAACGAACGCUGGCGGCGCGUUUAAGCAUGCAAGUCGAGCGGCAAGGGCCUUCGGGCCCCUAGAGCGGCGGACGGGUGAGUAACACGUGGACAAUCUGCCCCCCGGCCCGGGAUAGCCCAGGGAAACCUGGAUUAAUACCGGAUGAGACGGGACCCGCGAUGGCGGGACCCGGGAAAGGCGCUGCGGCGCCGCCGGGGGAUGAGUCUGCGUCCCAUUAGCUAGACGGCGGGGUAACGGCCCACCGUGGCGACGAUGGGUAGCCGGCCUGAGAGGGUGGACGGCCACAUUGGAACUGAGACACGGUCCAGACUCCUACGGGAGGCAGCAGCUAAGAAUCUUCCGCGAUGGGCGAAAGCCUGACGGAAGCGACGCCGCGUGAACGAAGAAGGCCGUGAGGUUGUAAAGUUCUUUUCGGGAGGGGAACAACCGUGGCAGGGAAUGGCCGCGGGAUGACGUGAAUCCCGGAAUAAGCCCCGGCUAACUACGUGCCAGCCGCGGC